GGGUUCCUGGGGCUGGCGGAAAAAUCAUGAUCUCAAUCAACCCCACGAUGAAGCGUUAGCAUUCCUCAGCCAUCCGUUAAACAAUUUAUCAUGGGCAAUAUAUUACGUGGCUAGAUUCGUCGCCGUGGUCGUUAUGGCGUCAAAAACUACGACGACAGGGAAAAAUGCAAUAAUUCAUAUACUGAAUAUUAGAAGAGGCAACAUGGAGUUCGCCACGAAAGAGGAGUUGGUCCUAUUUUACGACCAUGUCACGUCGAGGAAGGU
This 264-nucleotide unclassified non-coding RNA is filed under the name Athalia rosae (coleseed sawfly). RNAcentral describes it as "misc RNA ENSAEAG00005010030.1". The record is from RNAcentral. Lineage: Eukaryota; Metazoa; Arthropoda; Insecta; Hymenoptera; Athaliidae.